This 420-nucleotide ribosomal RNA is filed under the name uncultured bacterium. Its description in RNAcentral is "partial 16S ribosomal RNA". It matches the Rfam family "Bacterial small subunit ribosomal RNA", at positions 360 to 773 of the family's 1533-position model. The record is from RNAcentral.
AAUAUUGGACAAUGGGGGCAACCCUGAUCCAGCCAUGCCGCGUGUGUGAAGAAGGUCUNCGGUUUNUNAAGCACUUUAAGUGGGGNAGAAGGGCGUUAGGUUAAUACCCUGAAGUGUUGACGUUACCAACAGAAUAAGCACCGGCUAACUUUGUCCAGCAGCCGCGGUAAUACAGAGGGUGCAAGCGUUAAUCGGAAUUACUGGGCGUAAAGCGCGCGUAGGUGGUUCCGUAAGAUGGGUGUGAAAUCCCCGGGCUUAACCUGGGAACUGCUUUCCUAACUGCUGAGCUAGAGUACGGUAGAGGGUAGUGGAAUUUCCUGUGUAGCGGUGAAAUGCGUAGAGAUAGGAAGGAACACCAGUGGCGAAGGCGACUACCUGGACUGAUACUGACACUGAGGUGCGAAAGCGUGGGGAGCAGAC